UACAGAGGGUGCGAGCGUUAAUCGGAAUUACUGGGCGUAAAGCGUGCGUAGACGGUAGCGUAAGUCAGAUGUGAAAGCCCCGGGCUCAACCUGGGAAUUGCAUUUGAGACUGCUCUGCUCGGGUGCGGAAGAGGGCAGCGGAAUUUCCGGUGUAGCAGUGAAAUGCGUAGAUAUCGGAAGGAACACCAGUGGCGAAAGCGGCUUCCUGGUCCGACACCGACGUUCAGGCACGAAAGCGUGGGGAGCAAACAGG
Molecule: ribosomal RNA, 253 nt
Filed under: uncultured bacterium
Lineage: Bacteria
Description: partial 16S ribosomal RNA
Rfam family: Bacterial small subunit ribosomal RNA
Source: RNAcentral